RNAcentral lists this ribosomal RNA (253 nucleotides) under uncultured bacterium. RNAcentral's name for it is "partial 16S ribosomal RNA". It matches the Rfam family "Bacterial small subunit ribosomal RNA", at positions 524 to 776 of the family's 1533-position model. The record is from RNAcentral.
UGCGUAGGUGGCAAGCGUUGUCCGGAAUUAUUGGGCGUAAAGCGCGCGCAGGCGGCCUCUUAAGUCUGAUGUGAAAGCCCCCGGCUCAACCGGGGAGGGCCAUUGGAAACUGGGAGGCUUGAGUAUAGGAGAGAAGAGUGGAAUUCCACGUGUAGCGGUGAAAUGCGUAGAGAUGUGGAGGAACACCAGUGGCGAAGGCGACUCUUUGGCCUAUAACUGACGCUGAGGCGCGAAAGCGUGGGGAGCAAACAGG